RNAcentral lists this long non-coding RNA (1173 nucleotides) under Nicotiana tabacum (common tobacco). RNAcentral's name for it is "long non-coding RNA (NTAB_LNC016994)". The record is from RNAcentral. Lineage: Eukaryota; Viridiplantae; Streptophyta; Magnoliopsida; Solanales; Solanaceae.
AGAAAAUGACAAUAGUCCCAACGCGAAUUCACUCUGAAAUUUUACAAGAUCCAACGUGAAAGGCUAGUUCAAAGAAAGCCCGGUAUAAUUUUUCUCAAGAAUAUUAUACAGAUUUUUCUCUACUCCGAUCUUGCCGUCACGAGUUUUGUCGCAAUUAUCGUAUGUUAGAAGGAUUAUUCAGAGAACCGGCUCAGGCAUGUUAAGACUAUCCCCUCUUUCCUUUUGGUAUGAUCUAUACGAAACGAGCAAAUGCACAAUUUUCAUAAAUGACUCUAUUCAUAGAAAUAUUCAGGGUGUCUAUAUUCUUGAUUUCCCAUGUGAAUUAUUAUUAUAUCUUCUGUUCAUGGGUCUCAAAAAAAUACGUAUUUGAUAAAAUUUAUUCGACAUGCAUAUUAUUUUUAUGACAUUCCGAGAAAAUUUUAUUAACGUAUUUCUUAAGGCAUAUUAUUUUUAUGACAUUGCGAGAAAAUAUUAUUAACGUAUUUCUUAUGCAUUUCAUGCAUUUAUACAUAUACAUUGACUCAUGACCAGAUGGCGUUAUAUACGCGUAUAUAUGUAUAUAUAUGUAUAUGAGAUAUGAAAAAAGGUUACGACGUUAUAUACGCACCACCACCUGAUCAGCUAGUAUACGUUGAUGAUUUGUCCACAGUGGCUGAAAUGAUAUGAUGGGAUGCCCUUAGAGGCUUGAUGAUGCUAUGAACGCAUAUACUUAUGCAUGGUAUAAUAUUUAUACGCAUAUGCAUGACAUUAUAAAAAUAAAAUGACUCACAGAGCUAUGCAUACGUACAUGUCGAGUCUUUUACUCCAUGUUUUUCUCAUGUCUAUUAUUUACUAAUUUUCAUUCCUUACAUACUCGGUACAUUAUUUGUACUGACGUCCCUUUUGCCUGGAGACGCUGUGUUUCAUGCCCGCAGGUCUCGAUAGACAGGUCGAGAGUCCUCCAAGUAGGUGAUCAGCUCAGCAGAAGAUAUUGGUGCACUCCAUUUGCUCCGGAGUUGUUUGUUUUAUCAGUAUGAUUUAGAUGUGUAUGGUUUGGUAUGGCGGGGCUCUAUCCCGACCUUUAUGACAAUUAUGUACUCUUGGAGGCUUGCAGACAUAUGUCGUGUACGUGAAAGAUUGUACGGCCUUAUCGGCCUAUGUUUUGAGUUUAUAAAUGAUGAUGAUGGCCUAUUA